This 428-nucleotide ribosomal RNA is filed under the name uncultured prokaryote. Its description in RNAcentral is "bacterial SSU rRNA". It matches the Rfam family "Bacterial small subunit ribosomal RNA", at positions 355 to 774 of the family's 1533-position model. The record is from RNAcentral.
UGAGGAAUAUUGCGCAAUGGGGGCAACCCUGACGCAGCAACGCCGCGUGAGUGAGGAAGGUUUUCGGAUCGUAAAGCUCUGUCGAGUGGGAAGAAAUGUAUCAUGGCUAAUAUCCAUGGUAUUUGACGGUACCGCUAAAGGAAGCACCGGCUAACUCCGUGCCAGCAGCCGCGGUAAUACGGGGGGUGCAAGCGUUGUUCGGAAUUAUUGGGCGUAAAGAGCGUGUAGGCGGCUGAAUAAGUCAGAUGUGAAAUCCCUGGGCUUAACCCAGGACGUGCAUUUGAAACUGUUCAGCUUGAGUAGGGGAGAGGAAAGUGGAAUUCCUGGUGUAGAGGUGAAAUUCGUAGAUAUCAGGAGGAACACCGGUGGCGAAGGCGACUUUCUGGCCCUAUACUGACGCUGAGACGCGAGAGCGUGGGUAGCAAACA